Molecule: ribosomal RNA, 377 nt
Filed under: uncultured bacterium
Lineage: Bacteria
Description: bacterial SSU rRNA
Rfam family: Bacterial small subunit ribosomal RNA
Source: RNAcentral
UAAUACGAGGGGGGCAAGCGUUGUCCGGAUUUAUUGGGCGUAAAGAGUUCGUAGGCGGAUUAAUAAGUCUAUAUUGAAAUACAAUGGCUUAACCAUUGAAAUGGUAUAGAUACUGUUAAUCUUGAGUUAUGUAGAGGUAAGUGGAAUUUCUGGUGUAGCGGUGAAAUGCGUAGAUAUCAGAAGGAACACCAAAGGCGAAGGCAACUUACUGGGCAUUAACUGACGCUGAGGAACGAAAGCGUGGGUAGCAAACAGGAUUAGAGACCCUGGUAGUCCACGCCGUAAACGAUGAGUACUUGGUGGUGGGGGAUUCGACCCUUUCACUGCUGGAGCUAACGCAUUAAGUACUCCGCCUGGGGAUUACGACCGCAAGGUUG